UACAGAGGUGGCGAGCGUUGUUCGGAUUUACUGGGCGUAAAGGGCGCGCGGGCGGUCUCGUGUGACGGAUGUGAAAUCUCCGGGCUCAACCCGGAAAGUGCGUCCGAAACUGCGGGGCUGGAGCAAGGGAGAGGAAAGCGGAACUCAUGGUGUAGCGGUGAAAUGCGUUGAUAUCAUGAAGAACACCGGUGGCGAAGGCGGCUUUCUGGAACUUGGCUGACGCUUAGGCGCGAAAGUGGGGGGAGCAAAC
Molecule: ribosomal RNA, 250 nt
Filed under: uncultured prokaryote
Description: partial 16S ribosomal RNA
Rfam family: Bacterial small subunit ribosomal RNA
Source: RNAcentral